GCUGGGCACAGUGGCACAUGUCUGUAAUCCCAAUGGCUUGGGAGGCUGAGACAGGAGGAUCUCAAGUUCAAAGCCAGCCUCAGCAAUGUCAAGUUGCUAAAGCAACUCAGUGAGACCCUGUCUCUA
RNAcentral lists this small RNA (126 nucleotides) under Marmota monax (woodchuck). Lineage: Eukaryota; Metazoa; Chordata; Mammalia; Rodentia; Sciuridae. The record is from RNAcentral.